This is a non-coding RNA of Triticum aestivum (bread wheat), 127 nucleotides long. NCBI's taxonomy places the organism in Eukaryota, Viridiplantae, Streptophyta, Magnoliopsida, Poales, Poaceae. The record is from Rfam.
GUAAUACUUCCUCCGUCCCAAAAUUCUUGUCCUAGAUUUGUCUAGAUACGGAUGUAUCUAACGUAACUAGAUACAUCCGUAUUUAGACAAAUCUAAGACAAGAAUUUUGGGACGGAGGGAGUAUUAU